CUGCAGUCUGCUUUGCAAAAAAGAGACACAGAUUUUUCAGUUUCCAAGCUGCUUUAGCAUUGUUUCCCAAGUUAUUCUCUCUAUUUGUAGACUUUGAAAGCUGGGCUGGGUGCAGUAGGAGACUGGUCUGGCCGUGAGUGUUUCAGAGCUUGCAUGGUAGGAGUCCUCCACUGUGCUGGCAGGCAAGGAACAGGGACAGGCAUUCCGAAGCUUUACUGUGCAUGAUCUGCUAUAAAAUUAAAAAAAAAAAAACAACAUCCACAAUGGAACAGUGUGGGUUCCAGUGUAGGUCACAGGGUGGUGACGCACUGAACAGGUUGCCCAAGGAGGCUGUGGAUGCCCCAUCCCUGGAGGCAUUCAAGGCCAGGCUGGAUGUGGCUCUGGGCAGCCUGGUCUGCUGGUUGGCGACCCUGCACAUAGCAGGGGGUUGAAACAAGAUGAUCAUUGUGGUCCUUUUCAACCCAGGCCAGUCUAUAAUUCUAUGAUACUUUGUGAGAAUCUCUGUUAAAUACCAGUAUAAAUGCACUUGUAAGACCUGGAUUGUCUUGCUCCAAGAGGGUCAUGGCUUGCCUGCAGCCUAGCAGGUUUCCUGCAAUGCAUCUCUGCUCAGCCAGUGGGGCAUUCAGGAGCAGUGCACUGAAGCAGCCUGCUCAAGGCCAAACAAUGAACUGAUGUUGUAGCAGAUGUAAGACCAGGAGGUAAACCAUUUGCUUGUCCUUCUCCUGUUUUGCUGUUCAUUUCAUGGCAGAGGGAAGAUGUGUUUAGAGAUAGAGGGGGCAAUAAAGGAUCAUUCUUUGCUGAUGUGCAGAGAAAUCUCAGUGCCCGAAGGAGUUGCACUGCAGUGCACAGUCCCUGCACUGUACCUAUUCCUUGGAACUCCUCUCAAAGGAAGCACCUGCUUUGGACACAUGUCCAAGGUGGCUUGUUCUUAAGGACAGCAUAUUGUUUCCCCUUCUGAAUGUAAUUGAAUUCAGCCCUGACAAAGCUAAAUGAAGUGGUUGCUGUUGCUGCCAAAUGUGAUUAAGAACAGAAAGCUCUCUGAGUAAAGCGAAAGUGAAACCCCAGGAGUUCUUAAUUCUCUUGAUUUCUGACAAAUUUGUGGAAAGCUGGCUCUCUAAUCCUCAGGCAGUUCUGCUUGGAUCCCUCUGCACUGUCGAACUCCUGCUAUGCCUGUGUCACAUGUAGAUCAGACAGGAAGGUCAGUGAGCAGAUCAUGCAGUCUCUACAUGCCCUGAGUUAGUGGCCUCAUAGAGAAUAAAUACACGUUUGGCUGGUUCCAAACUGAAUCACUUGGGUCCAAGGGAGGCAGUCCAUAAUGAUGCACUGUUUGCUUGGUUGAUGCUCUGCAUUUGUCUCCAACUUGCAGGGCUCAUGGUAAAUUCUUAGCUCAGUAGUGGGUUUUGUGUCUGUCAGUGGAUGGUUGGACUAGAUGAUCUAAGAGGCCUUUUCCAACCUUACUGAUUCUAUGAUUCUUUGAUUGCAUUUCUAUUUUGUGCUGACAGGGAGAAUGUCUAUGUCUGUGUCUGUGUUACAAGGCUGAGCAGCCAUGUUCCUGGACCUUGAAGAGCACUCAGGCAUCAGCCUCUUCAAGUUGUUGCCUGGAGGGAUUAUGCCUUUGAAGAUAUGGCAUGAAGAGAUAGAAGCUUGAACUGAAAAACUUCUGGAACACCUCCAGGGACGGUGACCCCACCACCUCUCCGGCCAUGAAGCUCAAAGCUGUUUCUUUGGGCUGAAGAUUUUAGCUGUGAUUCAGUGAUGCACAUGUGAGGACCUGCCUUAUUCCAGAUUUGGGCACCUGUCCCGGGUGCACGUUGAGAAGGUGUGACUGAUAAAGACAAUUACUGCUGGACAGUGGCAUCUUAGCAAGCACAGAAUCACAGCUUGUGCAUUUUUGUCCUUAUACAACUCUGUGAAAUGUGACAGUGCCAAGAAGUUGCAUCUGGUUUAUACCAAGGAAGCUAAAGAGGUGACUUGAUCACUGCCUUCAAGUACAAGCUUUGUCUGCAGGGGGGCUGUCUGUUUCUAAUACUUGGUGCUGCAGAUUGGCAGGUGAGGUGAUAUGGAAGGGAAUGCUCAGCAGCCCUACCCAGCCACAACUAGAGGAGUCAGAACUGAACAGCUCCAGAAGCCAACUGCUCUGUGGUCUUAUCCACUGAGAUGUGCCACGGUCAGCUUGUUCUCCCUCUGCCUCAGAUCUACUGCAAAUGGAACCAUUUGGAAUGCAGCCUAAAUCCCACUGGAGCAAUUGGGAUGCAGAUGGCAAGGAAAGCUGAAGGGCAUUUGGAUACAUGCUGUCCCAUGGAUGUCUAAAUGGGAGAGAAGGUCUUCUAGAAGCACAUGAAGGACCCUAGAGGAGACAAGUGUUGGGAAAAAAAACAUGUCAGAACAUCUGAAAUGCCUCCUUCAUUGUCCCAGCUUUGGGAGCACUUACUUAACCUAUAUCAGCAUGACUCAAAACAACAUCAAUGUUUGUCUCUGGAGUGAAAAGAAAUAAUGUGCUUUGUUCAGCUGCUUCCUAUUCAAAGAGAAAUCACACUGGGAAGCAGAAGUUGCUGUAAAGGGGAGAGGUUCUGCAACUGACUCACUGGAAAAGGGGGAGAACAGUGCACAAAAGAACCUGCGGAUAUCCUGGUGGAUUUCAGAACCGUGGCCAGCAGCCAGAGAGGUUCCGCGCAUGGUGCUGGGCUCUCUGAGGGAUUAAUUCGCGUCUCUUGGUUACUGACGAUGGCAUUCAGGUCUCUGGUGUGACUGUAUAAAUUCCCUGCAGGCCUGAAAAAAUGGAGAAAUGACUCCCUCAAGACAUUUUCCUAACCCAGAAAUACAGCAGAGUCAGAAGCAACAAAAGAAAACAGAUUCUGCCUUGUUCUAACAAAGUUUUGCC
Molecule: long non-coding RNA, 2881 nt
Organism: Gallus gallus (chicken)
Lineage: Eukaryota; Metazoa; Chordata; Aves; Galliformes; Phasianidae
Source: Ensembl